This 584-nucleotide ribosomal RNA is filed under the name Rhodotorula mucilaginosa. Its description in RNAcentral is "partial large subunit ribosomal RNA". It matches the Rfam family "Eukaryotic large subunit ribosomal RNA", at positions 68 to 668 of the family's 3401-position model. The record is from RNAcentral. Lineage: Eukaryota; Fungi; Basidiomycota; Microbotryomycetes; Sporidiobolales; Sporidiobolaceae.
AYUGGCAUCCCCUAGUAGCGGCGAGCGAAGCGGGAAGAGCUCAAAUUUAUAAUCUGGCACCUUCGGUGUCCGAGUUGUAAUCUCUAGAAAUGUUUUCCGCGUUGGACCGCACACAAGUCUGUUGGAAUACAGCGGCAUAGUGGUGAGACCCCCGUAUAUGGUGCGGACGCCCAGCGCUUUGUGAUACAUUUUCGAAGAGUCGAGUUGUUUGGGAAUGCAGCUCAAAUUGGGUGGUAAAUUCCAUCUAAAGCUAAAUAUUGGCGAGAGACCGAUAGCGAACAAGUACCGUGAGGGAAAGAUGAAAAGCACUUUGGAAAGAGAGUUAACAGUACGUGAAAUUGUUGGAAGGGAAACGCUUGAAGUCAGACUUGCUUGCUGAGCAAUCGGUUUGCAGGCCAGCAUCAGUUUUCCGGGAUGGAUAAUGGUAGAGAGAAGGUAGCAGUUUCGGCUGUGUUAUAGCUCUCUGCUGGAUACAUCUUGGGGGACUGAGGAACGCAGUGUGCCUUUGGCGGGGGUUUCGACCUCUUCACACUUAGGAUGCUGGUGGAAUGGCUUUAAACGACCCGUCUUGAAAMAACGGAMCC